AUCCUGGCUCAGGAUGAACGCUAGCUACAGGCUUAACACAUGCAAGUCGAGGGGCAGCAUUAUCGAAGCUUGCUUUGAUAGAUGGCGACCGGCGCACGGGUGAGUAACGCGUAUCCAACCUUCCCCAUAGUCAGGAAUAGCCCGGCGAAAGUCGAAUUAAUACCCAAUGACGUCUCUAGAAGACAUCUGAAAGAGAUUAAAGAUUUAUCGGUGAUGGAUGGGGAUGCGUCUGAUUAGCUAGUUGGCGGGGUAACGGCCCACCAAGGCGACGAUCGGUAGGGGUUCUGAGAGGAAGGUCCCCCACAUUGGAACUGAGACACGGUCCAAACUCCUACGGGAGGCAGCAGUGAGGAAUAUUGGUCAAUGGGCGAGAGCCUGAACCAGCCAAGUAGCGUGCAGGAUGACGGCCCUAUGGGUUGUAAACUGCUUUUAUAAGGGAAUAAAGUGGGUCUCGUGAGACUUUUUGCAUGUACCUUAUGAAUAAGGACCGGCUAAUUCCGUG
Molecule: ribosomal RNA, 502 nt
Filed under: uncultured bacterium
Lineage: Bacteria
Description: bacterial SSU rRNA
Rfam family: Bacterial small subunit ribosomal RNA
Source: RNAcentral